GUGAGUUCUUGCUCUAUGUUCGUUCACUCAGGAGCUGGUUAUUUAAAGAGUGUGGCACUUCCCUCUCUCUCUUGCUCCUUCUCUGCCAUCUGACAUUCCUGCUCCCCAUUCACCUUCUGCCUUGAUUGGAAGCUUCCUGAAGCCCUCACCAGAAGCAGAUGCUGGCACCAUGCUUUUUGUACAGUCUGCAGAACCGAACCUGGCUUUAUUGUACCACUGGCCAUUGUGUUUAAACUGGGGACAAAGGACUUCAGUUGCUCACACCGGGAGAG
RNAcentral lists this long non-coding RNA (272 nucleotides) under Microcebus murinus (gray mouse lemur). Its description in RNAcentral is "lncRNA (ENSMICG00000048264.1)". Lineage: Eukaryota; Metazoa; Chordata; Mammalia; Primates; Cheirogaleidae. The record is from RNAcentral.